RNAcentral lists this ribosomal RNA (466 nucleotides) under uncultured bacterium. RNAcentral describes it as "partial 16S ribosomal RNA". It matches the Rfam family "Bacterial small subunit ribosomal RNA", at positions 29 to 507 of the family's 1533-position model. The record is from RNAcentral.
AUGAACGCUGACAGAAUGCUUAACACAUGCAAGUCAACUUGAAUUUGGGUUUUUAACUUAGGUUUGGGUGGCGGACGGGUGAGUAACGCGUAAAGAACUUGCCUCACAGCUAGGGACAACAUUUGGAAACGAAUGCUAAUACCUAAUAUUAUGAUAAUAGGGCAUCCUAUAAUUAUGAAAGCUAUAAGCGCUGUGAGAGAGCUUUGCGUCCCAUUAGCUAGUUGGAGAGGUAACGGCUCACCAAGGCGAUGAUGGGUAGCCGGCCUAAGAGGGUGAUCGGCCACAAGGGGACUGAGACACGGCCCUUACUCCUACGGGAGGCAGCAGUGGGGAAUAUUGGACAAUGGACCGAGAGUCUGAUCCAGCAAUUCUGUGUGCACGAUGAAGUUUUUCGGAAUGUAAAGUGCUUUCAGUUGGGAAGAAACAAAUGACGGUACCAACAGAAGAAGUGACGGCUAAAUACGUG